ACGAAGGAGUCAUCGCCAUUAGCAUAAUCGGAAUGUCGUUGGAACCGUUGCAAGACGUUUGAACGGUCUCCGCGCUCGCUCGUCCAUUUGUGAACAAAGGAGGCCGUGAUUUUGCGUCGUAUGGGCGGCUGCAGUGUUGGGUCCCGUCAGGCCAUGAAAGAAGGAAGGAGGAUAUGAUUUUGCGUCGUAAUGGGUUUUUGUUGUUUGUUCGGAGCAGCGGCUGCAGUGUUGCGUCCCGUCAGGCUCUACUUUGUUGAACACUAAGCUGGACACAUAUCUCUCCAGCACUUCAGAGACGUCGCUGGCGCCGAAAUUCUAGCUGUUUCACCGUGGGUCGCCAGAAGAACAGCAGAUCAUUGACUGUCAAUUGUGCGACGCGACACUAUGUGGCACGAAGGAUGUGUACGUGUGAAAUACGUAACUACUGUGUGCGCGGGAUGUUUUGUAUGAUUGUGUCGACACUGGAUACCACUUUCAAGGUAUGCAUUUUCGGAAUAAAGUAGAUACAUAUAUAAUUUUGCAGUACUUCAUUUCGUGUAUUUUAUGCGUGUUGCGAGUAAGUGACCAUAUGCACUCUUAAAAAUGAACUUCACCGCAUAGCAUGCUCCUAGCCGACCAUCAACUCGAAUGAUAUCGCUAUGUGACCUGAUUUGUUCAAAACGGUAGGCGCACGGCUUUUUUGUGAUACUUACGCUGUUCAUAAUUGUCACAAAAAUGGCGUACACCUCCCGUUUUCAGGCAGAUAACGAUAUUCGAGAUGAUGAUUG
Ornithodoros turicata is the source of this 767-nucleotide long non-coding RNA. RefSeq lists it as uncharacterized. The transcript is spliced from 6 exons. Lineage: Eukaryota; Metazoa; Arthropoda; Arachnida; Ixodida; Argasidae. The record is from RefSeq and is a predicted model, not a curated record.